GGAAAAUAUGCGUAUGCUUGCUUUAUUUUAAAGAAAACCUAAUAAAAAUAUCAGGGGCUUCUGAGUCAGGUUAAGUAAUGACAAUACUUCAUCCUCCUCACAAUGUUAAUUGGUUCGGUAAUAGCAAGUGAACCAGGAAUGCAGGCUGUGCAUAUUCUCCAUCUCUGCUUCUGCUGUCUCAUGUGUAAAUGGCUUUUCCUAAGGAGGAGGGCCACUAAGGAUAAGUCUUAGGCAAGAACAUGUGUUGGAACACAAAUGGCAGUAGGUAAACGUUUUCUCUGGCAUUCCAUUUUUCCGGAAGUCUCUUUGUGGGCAUUCUUCCUUGAGAACAGAUAUUCCCUGAAAAUAUCUUUUCUUUAGUUAAUCUUACUGGAGAUCUUUAUUUCUUCAAACUGCACUUGAGUACCAUCUGAUGUCCUUUCACUUAAACUUAGGACUCCCUUUAGCAUUUCUUGCAGGGCAGGUCUACUGGUAAUGAACUCCCUCAUCUUUUGUUUAUCUUCUUAAUGUCUUAAUUUCUUCCUCAUUUUUGAAAAAAAAAAAUUAUCCGAUAACAAAUUCUUGAUUGACAGGGUUUUUGUUUUUUUUUUCUUUCAGCACUUUAAAUAUGUCACUGCACUGCCCUCUGGUUUCCAUGGUUUCUGAUGAGAAAUUGUUAAUCUUAUUAAAGCACCCUGUACAUGACGGUCACUUCUCUCUUGCUGCUUUCAAGAUUCUCUCUUAGUCUUUGGCUUUCACCCGUUUUAUCUCUAGGAUGCAGGAGAGAAUUCUAGAUCAAAGCUAUACAUCUUGGAGUUGUCGGAAUAGAAAUGAUAAAGGAGCCUGAGAAGGGGUGGUCAGAGAGGUAGAAGAAUAUCGGAAGCUGUGGUAUCCUGGAUGCCCAAUGAUGAAAGUGUUUCAAGGCGGAAGGCAUCAUCAAAUAUGUUGAAUGCAGCUGAUAGGUCAGACUCUAUGCCUGUGGUGAGCAGGGUCUGCCCUCAUUUACAACAUCGCUUAACCCGAUGCCUGGUGCAAAGUGAUUGAGCAAUAAAUAUAGAAGAAAUAAAGAAAAUGAGGAGGACGCACCGUUCCUCGGGCUACUCUUGGAAAUAUCAGUAGUCAGAGCCAGAAUUUUGAAUGGAAGCUUUGGAAGAGAUGAAAAUCUAUCUGGAGUGGACUGUGGUAAGCACUAGAAUGGGGAGGUUGAGGAGACCACCCGUGUGCUACAGAGCCAGGUAGUACUGUUGCUUGUUCCCCGAUGUGGAGAUGCUGAUUU
Mirounga angustirostris (Northern elephant seal) is the source of this 1255-nucleotide long non-coding RNA. RefSeq lists it as uncharacterized. The transcript has 2 exons. The record is from RefSeq and is a predicted model, not a curated record. NCBI's taxonomy places the organism in Eukaryota, Metazoa, Chordata, Mammalia, Carnivora, Phocidae.